GGAGCUGUAGCUCAGUUGGUAAAGCACCUGCUUCACAACCAGGAGGUUCCAGGUUCAAUCCCUGGCGACUCCA
Non-coding RNA from Elgaria multicarinata webbii, 73 nucleotides. Lineage: Eukaryota; Metazoa; Chordata; Lepidosauria; Squamata; Anguidae. The record is from the annotation of a RefSeq genome assembly.